GGUUAAGCGACUAAGCGUACACGGUGGAUGCCCUGGCAGUCAGAGGCGAUGAAGGACGUGCUAAUCUGCGAUAAGCGUCGGUAAGGUGAUAUGAACCGUUAUAACCGGCGAUUUCCGAAUGGGGAAACCCAGUGUGUUUCGACACACUAUCAUUAACUGAAUCCAUAGGUUAAUGAGGCGAACCGGGGGAACUGAAACAUCUAAGUACCCCGAGGAAAAGAAAUCAACCGAGAUUCCCCCAGUAGCGGCGAGCGAACGGGGAGCAGCCCAGAGCCUGAAUCAGUGUGUGUGUUAGUGGAAGCGUCUGGAAAGGCGCGCGAUACAGGGUGACAGCCCCGUACACAAAAAUGCACAUGCUGUGAGCUCGAUGAGUAGGGCGGGACACGUGGUAUCCUGUCUGAAUAUGGGGGGACCAUCCUCCAAGGCUAAAUACUCCUGACUGACCGAUAGUGAACCAGUACCGUGAGGGAAAGGCGAAAAGAACCCCGGCGAGGGGAGUGAAAAAGAACCUGAAACCGUGUACGUACAAGCAGUGGGAGCACGCUUAGGCGUGUGACUGCGUACCUUUUGUAUAAUGGGUCAGCGACUUAUAUUCUGUAGCAAGGUUAACCGAAUAGGGGAGCCGAAGGGAAACCGAGUCUUAACUGGGCGUUAAGUUGCAGGGUAUAGACCCGAAACCCGGUGAUCUAGCCAUGGGCAGGUUGAAGGUUGGGUAACACUAACUGGAGGACCGAACCGACUAAUGUUGAAAAAUUAGCGGAUGACUUGUGGCUGGGGGUGAAAGGCCAAUCAAACCGGGAGAUAGCUGGUUCUCCCCGAAAGCUAUUUAGGUAGCGCCUCGUGAAUUCAUCUCCGGGGGUAGAGCACUGUUUCGGCAACAACCCGAUGCAAACUGCGAAUACCGGAGAAUGUUAUCACGGGAGACACACGGCGGGUGCUAACGUCCGUCGUGAAGAGGGAAACAACCCAGACCGCCAGCUAAGGUCCCAAAGUCAUGGUUAAGUGGGAAACGAUGUGGGAAGGCCCAGACAGCCAGGAUGUUGGCUUAGAAGCAGCCAUCAUUUAAAGAAAGCGUAAUAGCUCACUGGUCGAGUCGGCCUGCGCGGAAGAUGUAACGGGGCUAAACCAUGCACCGAAGCUGCGGCAGCGACGCUUAUGCGUUGUUGGGUAGGGGAGCGUUCUGUAAGCCUGCGAAGGUGUGCUGUGAGGCAUGCUGGAGGUAUCAGAAGUGCGAAUGCUGACAUAAGUAACGAUAAAGCGGGUGAAAAGCCCGCUCGCCGGAAGACCAAGGGUUCCUGUCCAACGUUAAUCGGGGCAGGGUGAGUCGACCCCUAAGGCGAGGCCGAAAGGCGUAGUCGAUGGGAAACAGGUUAAUAUUCCUGUACUUGGUGUUACUGCGAAGGGGGGACGGAGAAGGCUAUGUUGGCCGGGCGACGGUUGUCCCGGUUUAAGCGUGUAGGCUGGUUUUCCAGGCAAAUCCGGAAAAUCAAGGCUGAGGCGUGAUGACGAGGCACUACGGUGCUGAAGCAACAAAUGCCCUGCUUCCAGGAAAAGCCUCUAAGCAUCAGGUAACAUCAAAUCGUACCCCAAACCGACACAGGUGGUCAGGUAGAGAAUACCAAGGCGCUUGAGAGAACUCGGGUGAAGGAACUAGGCAAAAUGGUGCCGUAACUUCGGGAGAAGGCACGCUGAUAUGUAGGUGAGGUCCCUCGCGGAUGGAGCUGAAAUCAGUCGAAGAUACCAGCUGGCUGCAACUGUUUAUUAAAAACACAGCACUGUGCAAACACGAAAGUGGACGUAUACGGUGUGACGCCUGCCCGGUGCCGGAAGGUUAAUUGAUGGGGUUAGCGCAAGCGAAGCUCUUGAUCGAAGCCCCGGUAAACGGCGGCCGUAACUAUAACGGUCCUAAGGUAGCGAAAUUCCUUGUCGGGUAAGUUCCGACCUGCACGAAUGGCGUAAUGAUGGCCAGGCUGUCUCCACCCGAGACUCAGUGAAAUUGAACUCGCUGUGAAGAUGCAGUGUACCCGCGGCAAGACGGAAAGACCCCGUGAACCUUUACUAUAGCUUGACACUGAACAUUGAGCCUUGAUGGAAGUGUGGACGCCAGUCUGCAUGGCUUUAAUGUUUGAUGUUCUAACGUUGACCCGUAAUCCGGGUUGCGGACAGUGUCUGGUGGGUAGUUUGACUGGGGCGGUCUCCUCCUAAAGAGUAACGGAGGAGCACGAAGGUUGGCUAAUCCUGGUCGGACAUCAGGAGGUUAGUGCAAUGGCAUAAGCCAGCUUGACUGCGAGCGUGACGGCGCGAGCAGGUGCGAAAGCAGGUCAUAGUGAUCCGGUGGUUCUGAAUGGAAGGGCCAUCGCUCAACGGAUAAAAGGUACUCCGGGGAUAACAGGCUGAUACCGCCCAAGAGUUCAUAUCGACGGCGGUGUUUGGCACCUCGAUGUCGGCUCAUCACAUCCUGGGGCUGAAGUAGGUCCCAAGGGUAUGGCUGUUCGCCAUUUAAAGUGGUACGCGAGCUGGGUUUAGAACGUCGUGAGACAGUUCGGUCCCUAUCUGCCGUGGGCGCUGGAGAACUGAGGGGGGCUGCUCCUAGUACGAGAGGACCGGAGUGGACGCAUCACUGGUGUUCGGGUUGUCAUGCCAAUGGCACUGCCCGGUAGCUAAAUGCGGAAGAGAUAAGUGCUGAAAGCAUCUAAGCACGAAACUUGCCCCGAGAUGAGUUCUCCCUGACCCUUUAAGGGUCCUGAAGGAACGUUGAAGACGACGACGUUGAUAGGCCGGGUGUGUAAGCGCAGCGAUGCGUUGAGCUAACCGGUACUAAUGAACCGUGAGGCUUAACCU
Molecule: ribosomal RNA, 2841 nt
Filed under: Escherichia coli
Lineage: Bacteria; Pseudomonadati; Pseudomonadota; Gammaproteobacteria; Enterobacterales; Enterobacteriaceae
Description: 23S ribosomal RNA from Escherichia coli (PDB 6O9J, chain B)
Rfam family: Bacterial large subunit ribosomal RNA
Source: RNAcentral